RNAcentral lists this long non-coding RNA (209 nucleotides) under Mytilus galloprovincialis (Mediterranean mussel). The record is from RNAcentral. Lineage: Eukaryota; Metazoa; Mollusca; Bivalvia; Mytilida; Mytilidae.
GUUUUAUAUUUAUAGAGAUAAGAACCGUCAACGACUCAUAGUUCAAUAUAUUUUUUUAUAGUUCACCGGGCGCCUCUGAUGAAGCAGAACAUGCUAACCCGUCCGGAACAUCUUAAUUGACCCAAGUUUUUUUUUGCUAGGACUUAAUUCAUCACGGUUGCUCAGGCAAUCUUGUGUUCUUUAAGCACUUUUCCUCUUUCUUGUGUCUA